RNAcentral lists this transfer RNA (76 nucleotides) under Cotesia glomerata. RNAcentral's name for it is "tRNA-Thr". The record is from RNAcentral. Lineage: Eukaryota; Metazoa; Arthropoda; Insecta; Hymenoptera; Braconidae.
GAAAAAAUAGUUUAACUGGUAGAGCUCCUGACAUGUUAUCAGGGAGAUCCAGGUUCGAUUCCUGGAUUGGUAACCU